RNAcentral lists this ribosomal RNA (468 nucleotides) under uncultured bacterium. RNAcentral's name for it is "partial 16S ribosomal RNA". It matches the Rfam family "Bacterial small subunit ribosomal RNA", at positions 28 to 507 of the family's 1533-position model. The record is from RNAcentral.
GACGAACGCUGGCGGCGUGCUUAACACAUGCAAGUCGAACGGAAAGGCCCUGCUUUUGUGGGGUGCUCGAGUGGCGAACGGGUGAGUAACACGUGAGUAACCUGCCCUUGACUUUGGGAUAACUUCAGGAAACUGGGGCUAAUACCGGAUAGGAGCCCCUGCUGCAUGGUGGGGGUUGGAAAGUUUCGGCGGUUGGGGAUGGACUCGCGGCUUAUCAGCUUGUUGUGGGGGUAGUGGCUUACCAAGGCUUUGACGGGUAGCCGGCCUGAGAGGGUGACCGGCCACAUUGGGACUGGGAUACGGCCCAGACUCCUACGGGAGGCAGCAGUGGGGAAUAUUGCACAAUGGGCGGAAGCCUAAUGCAGCAACGCCGCGUGCGGGAUGACGGCCUUCGGGUUGUAAACCGCUUUCGCCUGUGACGAAGCGUGAGUGACGGUAAUGGGUAAAGAAGCACCGGCUAACUACGUG